Long non-coding RNA from Apis laboriosa (Himalayan honeybee), 255 nucleotides. RefSeq lists it as uncharacterized. The record is from RefSeq and is a predicted model, not a curated record. The transcript has 3 exons. NCBI's taxonomy places the organism in Eukaryota, Metazoa, Arthropoda, Insecta, Hymenoptera, Apidae.
CUAUGAUCUGCUACUGUGCAAAAGUUAACAAGAAAAAUCACAAUUUCGACACUUAUUAUCGACCAUCUACCUUCAAAAUUAUUUAUACACUCAGUCUAAGCUAAGAUCUGCUACUAUGCAAAAGUUAACAAGAAAAAUCACAAUUUCGACACUUAUUAUCGACCAUCUACCUUCAAAAUUAUUUAUACACUCAGUCUAAGCUAAGAUCUGCUACUAUGCAAAAGUUAAUAAGAAAAAUCACAAUUUCGACACUUA